RNAcentral lists this ribosomal RNA (253 nucleotides) under uncultured bacterium. RNAcentral describes it as "partial 16S ribosomal RNA". It matches the Rfam family "Bacterial small subunit ribosomal RNA", at positions 524 to 776 of the family's 1533-position model. The record is from RNAcentral.
UACAGAGGGGGCGAGCGUUGUUCGGAAUUACUGGGCGUAAAGGGCGCGUAGGCGGCCAACUAAGUCAGACGUGAAAUCCCUCGGCUCAACCGGGGAACUGCGCCUGAUACUGGAUGGCUUGAAUUCGGGAGAGGGAUGCGGAAUUCCAGGUGUAGCGGUGAAAUGCGUAGAUAUCUGGAGGAACACCGGUGGCGAAGGCGGCAUCCUGGACCGAGAUUGACGCUGAUGCGCGAAAGCCAGGGGAGCAAACGGG